CCUACGGGCGGCUGCAGUGGGGGAUAUUGCACAAUGGGGGAAACCCUGAUGCAGCGACGCCGCGUGGGCGAAGAAGUAUUUCGGUAUGUAAAGCCCUAUCAGCAGGGAAGAAGAAAUGACGGUACCUGAGUAAGAAGCACCGGCUAAAUACGUGCCAGCAGCCGCGGUAAUACGUAUGGUGCAAGCGUUAUCCGGAUUUACUGGGUGUAAAGGGAGCGCAGGCGGCACGGCAAGCCUGAUGUGAAAGCCCGGGGCCCAACCGCGGGACUGCAUUGGGAACUACCGGGCUGGAGUGCCGGAGAGGUAGGCGGAAUUCCUAGUGUAGCGGUGAAAUGCGUAGAUAUUAGGAGGAACACCAGUGGCGAAGGCGGCCUACUGGACGGUGACUGACGCUGAGGCUCGAAAGCGUGGGGAGCAAACAGGAUUAGAUACCCCAGUAGUC
RNAcentral lists this ribosomal RNA (442 nucleotides) under uncultured bacterium. RNAcentral's name for it is "partial 16S ribosomal RNA". It matches the Rfam family "Bacterial small subunit ribosomal RNA", at positions 338 to 795 of the family's 1533-position model. The record is from RNAcentral.